UCCCUGGAGGACUAGUGGUUAGACCUCAGCACUCUCACUGCCUCGGCUUGGGUUCAAUUCCCGGCCAGGGAA
RNAcentral lists this transfer RNA (72 nucleotides) under Pangasianodon hypophthalmus (striped catfish). It matches the Rfam family "tRNA". From Rfam's summary of the family: Transfer RNA (tRNA) molecules are approximately 80 nucleotides in length. Their secondary structure includes four short double-helical elements and three loops (D, anti-codon, and T loops). The record is from Rfam by way of RNAcentral. Lineage: Eukaryota; Metazoa; Chordata; Actinopteri; Siluriformes; Pangasiidae.